This 442-nucleotide ribosomal RNA is filed under the name uncultured bacterium. Its description in RNAcentral is "partial 16S ribosomal RNA". It matches the Rfam family "Bacterial small subunit ribosomal RNA", at positions 338 to 795 of the family's 1533-position model. The record is from RNAcentral.
CCUACGGGAGGCAGCAGUGGGGAAUAUUGGGCAAUGGGCGCAAGCCUUACCCAGCAACGCCGCGUGAAUGAAGAAGGCUUUCGGGUUGUAAACUUCUUUUAAGAGGGAAGAGCAGAAGACGGUACCUCUUGAAUAAGCCACGGCUAACUACGUCCCAGCCGCCGAGGUAAUACGUAGGUGGCAAGCGUUGUCUGGAUUUACUGGGGGUAAAGGGCGUGUAGCCGGGCUGACAAGUCAGAUGUGAAAUCCCGUGGCUCAACCACGGAACUGCAUUUGAAACUGUCGGACUUGAGUAUCGGAGAGGCAGGCGGAAUUCCUAGUGUAGCGGUGAAAUGCGUAGAUAUUAGGAGGAACACCAGUGGCGAAGGCGGCCUGCUGGACGACAACUGACGGUGAGGCGCGAAAGCGUGGGGAGCAAACAGGAUUAGAUACCCCAGUAGUC